RNAcentral lists this ribosomal RNA (425 nucleotides) under Lysinibacillus sp. Its description in RNAcentral is "bacterial SSU rRNA". It matches the Rfam family "Bacterial small subunit ribosomal RNA", at positions 1016 to 1441 of the family's 1533-position model. The record is from RNAcentral. Lineage: Bacteria; Bacillati; Bacillota; Bacilli; Caryophanales; Bacillaceae.
CCCUUCGGGGGCAACGGUGACAGGUGGUGCAUGGUUGUCGUCAGCUCGUGUCGUGAGAUGUUGGGUUAAGUCCCGCAACGAGCGCAACCCUUGAUCUUAGUUGCCAUCAUUUAGUUGGGCACUCUAAGGUGACUGCCGGUGACAAACCGGAGGAAGGUGGGGAUGACGUCAAAUCAUCAUGCCCCUUAUGACCUGGGCUACACACGUGCUACAAUGGACGAUACAAACGGUUGCCAACUCGCGAGAGGGAGCUAAUCCGAUAAAGUCGUUCUCAGUUCGGAUUGUAGGCUGCAACUCGCCUACAUGAAGCCGGAAUCGCUAGUAAUCGCGGAUCAGCAUGCCGCGGUGAAUACGUUCCCGGGCCUUGUACACACCGCCCGUCACACCACGAGAGUUUGUAACACCCGAAGUCGGUGAGGUAACCU